RNAcentral lists this long non-coding RNA (1373 nucleotides) under Androctonus crassicauda. Lineage: Eukaryota; Metazoa; Arthropoda; Arachnida; Scorpiones; Buthidae. The record is from RNAcentral.
ACAACGCAGGUGUCUUGCCACCUGUGCUGGUAAAAAUAUAAAAAAAAAAAAAAUAUUAUUAUUUCGACCACGAACAAGAGUUUUUAGCCUGGAGUAAACCAUACAAUCUAUUAAAACAAUGAGAAGUUUUACUUGGAUGAAUCUCGGUUUUUCUAUGUUAAUAUGAGAACAAUCACCUUGACGGUCAAGGGAGGAAAUUUUCGCCUCUUUCGCUAAUUACCGUAGUAGUAAUAGUACAGAUUACUAGCGUUAAGUCAAACAUACUUAACCAGAAAAAGCCAAUUAUCGCGUCUAAGAAGUGAGAGACGGAGAGGAGGGGAAAAAAUUACAGUCGUGCGGAAAACUAUCCGGAAGUGACGUAAUCGUACCUGCCGGAAUUUUAACACGCGACGUUUUACUAAUUUAAAUAUUCGGUAAAUAUUUAUUUAUUCGUUUUUAUAUUAGGAUACACAACCUUUAAAAAUGCUGUAGGAGUGUGUAAUCGGCGUACGAAGUGGGACACAUGAUCGAAUCGAACUACUUUCAUGACAGAUGAGUUUAAUUCGGUUUUAUGGUUCAACCAGACUGGCGGAUGUGGGUCAACAGGUCAUGUUGGACCUAGGGCGGGACAAGUCGGUGCAUGGUAUCGAUCGAUACGUUAUUACUAAGGAUGCAAAUCGAAUACGCGACGCCAUAUGGGAAGACAUCGCCAAAUUCGGAAAGCUGUCACGCGUUAGCGAGCGCCGGAAAUCGUCCUAAAACACACAAAAGACAGGUGUAUUUGACUAGGAUCAGGAAUUCUUGACGGCAGGUGAUCUAUCAGAGAGAUAGCAGCUAACCCGAACUUGAUAAUGUAUAUAUAUAUAUAAUAUGUAAACCCGACCGGCUGGCGGAACUCGUGGUCACUCUUCAAAAGAGUAACGUUUAAGAGAGGGAAACGCCCUGCUUACUUCCGGGUUAAUCCCCAGUCGAUCAACCCCUGCAGGAACGCUCUGACCCUGAAACAGUUCACAGAAAAGGAACGGUCGUACCCAAAAACUCUCUUUAAAAAAAAAAAAAGGAGAAGAAUGUUACUAGUAUAAACCGAUCGAAAGGCAAAAAUCACAAAGGCAUUGUAACCUAAAUAAAUUUUAAGGGGAUGCACGACGACGAAACAGCUGUGUCUUAGUGUGGCGAGCGUGUGAACACGUGUCUUUUCGUGACUGGAGUAAACAUAACAUCUGCGCUCUCGAACCGAUUUAGAAACGUCAACUGUCCAAUCACGAUUGAAUUAGGAGAAAACGUCGAUUGUCUCUGCUUCCAAUUCUUACUCAUCACCGCCACAACUUCGCAUAUCGAAAAAAGAAAGAAAGAAAAAAAAUAGAAGUAAUAAUUUUAGAGGAAGCAGUAACCAU